RNAcentral lists this ribosomal RNA (377 nucleotides) under uncultured bacterium. RNAcentral describes it as "bacterial SSU rRNA". It matches the Rfam family "Bacterial small subunit ribosomal RNA", at positions 521 to 896 of the family's 1533-position model. The record is from RNAcentral.
UAAUACGUAGGGGGCGAGCGUUGUCCGGAUUUAUUGGGCGUAAAGAGCGCGUAGGCGGCCAGGUAGGUCCGACGUGAAAUCUCGAGGCUCAACCUCGAGCGGUCGUUGGAUACCGCCUGGCUAGAGUCCGGAAGAGGAGAGUGGAAUUCCUGGUGUAGCGGUGAAAUGCGCAGAUAUCAGGAAGAACACCCAUGGCGAAAGCAGCUCUCUGGGACGGUACUGACGCUGAGGCGCGAAAGCGUGGGGAGCGAACAGGAUUAGAUACCCUGGUAGUCCACGCCGUAAACGAUGGGUGCUAGGUGUGGGCGGUGUCGACUCCGUCCGUGCCGAAGCUAACGCAUUAAGCACCCCGCCUGGGGAGUACGGCCGCAAGGCUA